RNAcentral lists this long non-coding RNA (5796 nucleotides) under Vigna radiata. Its description in RNAcentral is "long non-coding RNA (VRAD_LNC006344)". The record is from RNAcentral. Lineage: Eukaryota; Viridiplantae; Streptophyta; Magnoliopsida; Fabales; Fabaceae.
CGAGUAUUUUAAAGUUAAAAUAAUUGAAUAAUAUAAUUAGAAAUUCUUAAAGUUGUCUCAUUAUCAAAAACACUUGACAUCUCUCUAGAACCCUUUCGCUUAGUUCUCUCUUCAUUCUCUCUACAAUUUCUAACGCCUAGAUCAUUUGUUUGACAAUCAGGAGGUGUCUGAGCGAUCACGAUAUUAAAUCCUUCCUUUCGAUCCGAUUAAUUUUCUUGUAGAGCAAGUAAGUUUUUGUUCCUUUUUCCUUUAGUUCUUUUGUCAAAUGCAUACGUAGGAGUUCCUUCGCAUGUGUCAAUUCAAUUUAUUUUAUAGGUCUUCAUUGAUCAAAGGUCCUAAAGACUUGCUUUAAUAAUGUUUAUGUGUUUGUAGGUUUUUCUAAAGUUGCUUGAGCUCGAAGCAAAAGUAGUGAGCUGAGUUGUGAUAGUUUUUUUUUUUAAGGUAAGGGAAGCUAGUUUUUAUGUUUUGAGUAUUGUCAACACCUAAUUUCGUCCGGGUGACUGUUUUUGUCUUAUUUUAUUUUUAUUUUUAUUUUAUUUGCAUUUUAAUUUUGUUUUCAUUAUUUUAUUUCUAUGUUAGUUUUUUUUAUUACUUUUUUUUUUAGUUUUUAUUUUACUUUCUACUAUUCUCUUUUAUGUUAAUUUCUUUUUGUUGUUUAGUUUUAUUUUUAUUUUACUUUACUUUUUCUAUUAUGAUUUUCCUUUUUUCUUUUUGAUUUUAUUCUUAUUGAUUAUUUUAGUUUUGAUUUAAUAUAGUUAAGUAAAAAAAAAGAAAAAAAAAAGAAGAAAAAAAGGAAAAAAGAAAAAGAAAAAGGCUUUGUCAGUUUGUGAAAGGAAGGACAACAUGGUCUUGGCAAAGGAUGGAUUUUGGCAGAGGUUGUUGGUCUUGGCAGGCAAGGAAGGACACCACACUGCCCUCCACUACUCUGCUCCUCUAUACGUUUCCACCUCCUUCACCAAUAUCAUUCGGACCUUCUUACCAUUCCUACCUCUCCACUUCUACAUCCUCAUCACACACAACGUCUUCAUCGUCAUCCUUCACAUUUACCCAUCACAUACAACUCGUAUUCACCUCACCACCACGACCAGAGAGCAUGGAGUCGAGAACCAUUAUUCAUCUCCAACACCUGACCAUCAUGGACGAUUGAGAAACUAGAAAAAACCUUCACAGACGAAGCAUUCUGGAUUUCCCUUUCACUCCCAAUUGUUCAUCGGCAAUAUUUCAUUAUCUGCAAUAUCUCAUUACCACAAGAGGACCUUCACCAAAGGAUUCAGUUUCAAGCACCUCAUAAACGGAGCUUGAGCAUUGGAAACUCAUCACCAUUUACCUAUCGUCACAAUCUGGGAGGAAGAUACCUUACGGCCAGGGAAAAGGAGGACCAUUUGCCUUUACCCAGGAGAAUUCUGUUGAAGCUACAGAGGUAAGUUGCCCUAUCUAAGCUUCUCGGGUUUGGUCUUAUGCGAAUGUCUGUUCCCCUAUUGCAUGCCAUGCCUGAAUAUGAAUGAAUGGUGCUUGAUUAAUAAUAUAGUUGUGUUCUCUUCAUGGCAUCAUCGUUUAAUCAAAUACCUGCAAGAUUCAUCAUGUAUCACUAACAGUAGAGACUAGGUACAUGUUCUCCAACAUCAUGAUUUCAAUACCCCUCUACUUGUACCCAGAAAACACUAUAGAAAAAUGUAGAAGCAAAAUUAGAUGCAUUUCCAAAAUAGAAAAGAACAGAAAACCGAAACAACUUCCUCUCUAGCCAAACCAUAAGUCUUCUUCAAUCUGAACAGACACAGAUUCAUCACGUCCCUACUCCAUAUGCCCCUGUUCAAGAAAACACAGCAAGUCAUGAACCAAUUUCCCACCGUCUUCCAUCCCCUAUCCAGCCUCGUUCAUCAUUAGAAUUGAAUCAAGAACUCCCACAAAUGGAAACCCAAAAUCAAUACGCACAAAAACAGAACCAAUCACCAAAAACAAGGGCCAAUUUCCAACAUCCAUACACCAACCCAUAUUCAACCUACAACCAAAACGAAGCCAAAAAAUUUGAGCACCUGAAACACAGAAAGAUUCAAAAUUCAAAAAAACGAGAACCCAUCACAUAGAAUCCCCAAACAUUAUCUUGGCAAGCCUUUGAGGUUGUGUUAUCUGCGAACCUAGCAAUGAACCCCUCACGGGUGGAGGGCGCAGUAGCGUUUUGGGGGUGGUUGUGACGAUGGGGUUUUAGGGCUAGAGGAGGAUCUGGUUGUGGUGGUAGAGGUGGUCGGCUAUGACCGACAGCGACCUUGGGCCAUGACUAGUGGCGAUCCAUGAAGAGGAUAAUCUCUCAUGUGACGGUGAAGGUCGCGGUCGCUGGCGAGAGUGAGACGACGAGACUGUGAUGGCGACGCAGUGGUUGUCGAAGAGGAGCGGCGGUGCAUUGGAGGCAAAGCUUUAGCCCUAGGCUAGCGCGAGAGGAAGAGAAGGACAACGAUGAUGUCGCGGCCGGCGGUGGCUCCGGUAGGGCGCGUCGUCGCCGGUGACGCCAGGUGGAGAGAAAGCGGUUGUGUGUGGUCGUCGAAUGAAGGCGGUGCGGUGCGAGCUCUGACCCCGAGUUAGGCGAGAGAGAGACGCGAGACCUUGAGUCUCUGGUGUUUGAGUCUGAGAGUGAAGAAUGAGGGAAGAAAAUCUUGACCCCCUUAGAGCUUCUAGGUCGUGAGCACUUGGGCCAGAUUCAUGGGCCAUCCCCAUUCGCACCCCCCUUUUCUUCCAUCUACAACCCCCAUCUCUUGGGUUCGAGCCCAUUCUGUCAACCAAAAAAAAAAUCGUUUCUGCACCCCCUGUUUCCACUAAAUCACACCUCCAUCCAGUUUGGGUUUAAGCCCAGUUUGUUUAUAAUAAUAGUUUUUACACCCCUCUUUUGCCUAAACACCACCACACCCUUUUCACUUAUUAUUUUUAAUUUCUUAGUUUAUUUUAUUCCCACUUUUUAUUUUCAUUUAGUUAUUUAUUUAUUUAGUUAUUUUAUCUACUUUUAAAAUAAAUAUUAAAAAUCAACAAAAAAUUAUUUUAAAAGGUUGAAACACACGUGCGAUCAUUCUGUCUGCCUUGUGCUAAAAACUUUUUUUCUUCCUCUUCAAAAAAAAAAAUCAUAAAUUAUUUUAAAAGGUUUAAGCACACGUGCGACCGUUCUGUCUGCCUUGUGCUAAAAACCUUCUCCUUCUUUCAAAAAAAUAACAAAAAUUUAUUUUAAAAGGUUUAAGCAUACGUGCGACCAUUAUGUUUGCCUUGUGCUAAAAACCUUCUCCUUCUUUCAAAAAAUAACAAAAAUUUAUUUUAAAAGGUUUAAGCACACGUGCGACCAUUCUGUUUGCCUUGUGCUGAAAACCUUUUCUCUUUCUUUUAAAAAAUACAAAAUAAAAAUAAAUCUUCAAAAAACUAAAAAAAAACAUCUUCACAAACAAACAAUCAAUCUCUUAGCCAAAACUACGUGAUCCUUGAUUCUCCACCAAAAGUGGAGAUACGUAGGAGCAAGGCCAGUCCUUGUCAGGUUCACUUUCCAAAAAUCCAAAAAAAUUUCAAAUCUUUUUUUCAAACAAAUUUCUCAAGCAAUUUCUCAAACAAAUUACUCAAACAAAGUUUCCAAACGAUUAAAGAACUACGUAACCCUGAUUUCUCAGUCCAACUGAGAAUACGUAGGAGUAAGGUCAAUCCUUGUCGGGCACAAAAAACACAAAAAAAUAUUUUGUUUUCUUUAGAGUUUUAUUUUUUUAGGGGAAAUUAAACAUUUUGCAAACCACAUCAAAUUCGCGUAUUUAGUUAAAGGUACUGCCUUAGGGCAGGCGUUGUGGGGGUGCUAACACCUUCCCCACACAUAACCGACUCCUGAACCCAAUCUUUGGUUUUCGUGGACCGUGCUUUAUCAUUUUAUGGUUUUUCCGUAGUUUUCCAGAAUAAACUAUGGUGGCGACUCCAAAAACUUUUUUUCAAAAUUAGUUUUCCUUUUUUGGAUCGUCGUCGUCCCGUCGCGAUUUUCCGGUUGCGACAAGUAUUAAAUUUCAAGUAUAAUUGAUGAAUUUCUAUAAUGAUAAGAUGACUUAAUUAUAUUAGAGUGAAUGGUUUAUUGAUAAUUGUGUUUUGAUUUAGUGGAAUUAGUUGUGUGAUGUUUGAUGUCUUGUAUGAGUAUGUGAUUGAUUGGGAUAAACUUGUGAAUGAUGUUUUAUGAAAUGAUGGUCUAUAUUUUGGUUGAAAGGUUGAAUGGAAUUGUAUUUGUAAAAUUUUGGAUCAUGUUGGUAAAAAAGGAGUGGUAUUGAAAGGUGCUUCUUAGAAGAAAUGUCAAAAAGGGAGAAAUAGGAGUUUGGGAUCCAUGGUAAUGUCAUUUUGGGACAUGUUUGGGUGAUGAGUAAACCUGAGAAUGGUCUAGAACUACAUAAAAGAUGAUAGGUUGUGUUUUUCAAUGACUUUUAGGUGUAUUUUGAGGUUUUGAGUAGUGAAUUUUAGAAGUAGAGGGUUUAAGGUAAAAUGGAGGGUUUGAGGUAUGUUUUUGAGUCAAUUUGGACUUGUUCAGACCUCUAAGUUGCUCAGUUAUGAGUAAGAAUUGGUAAAAUUUAGUUAUGGUUCAUAAAGUAGGAAUUGAGUUGAAUUUGAAUGGAAAUUUCAUGGUAGAAGGAGUCAAAACAUGUUUAGAUUGGAUUACAUACAUAGGGAUAAAUUGGUUGUAACUGAGAAUUUCAAUUUGAAGUAUUAGAAGUUGGUGGAAGUGCAUGGUAGAGAACAUGAGAGGUUGAAGAGGUGUUUUUUUGGCAGAUUUAAAGUGCUGAUGAAUUAUGUAGAGGGGUUGGGCGACCAAAUUGCUCGUUGGGUGAGCAAAUAAGAGUUUCAACAGUGAGUUUCAAGGGCAGGGCAAGCUUCCUCGCUAAGCUGUGGGAGCUCCUUGUUUCCACACUCGUUGGGUGAAUGAUUUGGUUCGUUGAGCGAGUUUGUAAGGUGUUUUGGGCUUUGGUUACAAGGGCUAAGCGAGCAAGAUCAUUGGGCUAUUGGAGCUCACUGGUUUUGCUCUUGUUGGGUGAGUGAAGACUGCUCGUUGGGCGAGUGAAUCUGGGUUCUUUGGUUAUUUUAUUUGACUUCCUCUACUAUGGUUAGUUGUAAAUGGUAGGAUGGUUUAUCUUAUAUUCUACAAUAUGGUUGAAAAGUAUGAUGACAUAUGAAUGAUGGUUAUAAGGAGUUUAAUUAGAAUUCCUUUAAAUGAUUAUAUGUGUAAGUGCAUGUAUUGAUAUAAGAAAUUAGUAAUUAGAGGUUAUUCUGACGCUCUCAAUAACUUCCAGUCUCAAGAAGAGAAGGAUAGUUAUGUGGUGGAGAAUAAUAGGAGGUCCCUAGUCUAUUGGUUAAUUGUUUAGCCAUAGAUGCUUGAAAGGAUUAUGAAAUCCAUGUAUUCAGAUGAUUAGUCUAAAGUUAGAUGAUGAAAUGUGUAUGAAUAUUGUUUGGUUAUUUAUAAUUGAAUUAUAGAAUGACGUUGUGUAUAAUCUUAUAUGUAUUCUUUGAUAACUAGUUUACCCUUUUCUUUGUGUUUAUGUUUGUUUAUUUCUUAGGUUGCAAUAAUCAUCUUUAUGAUGUGAGCAGACAAGGAGCUGUCUUUGGAUCAAAUCUUAGACAAUAAGGAUAUAAUAGAAGAUUGAUCUUAGAUCAUUUAGUUUACUGAUAUUAUAUAUAUAUAUAUAUAUAUAUAUAUGUUUAUAGUUUUGUUUUAAUAAACUUCUAGUCGUACUUUAACUUUCAAAUGUAAAGUAUUUUGUUGAUGAAGAUUUUAUUUUAACUAUUCUAGUUUUAUUUACGUAUGAU